This 164-nucleotide ribosomal RNA is filed under the name uncultured bacterium. Its description in RNAcentral is "partial 16S rRNA". It matches the Rfam family "Bacterial small subunit ribosomal RNA", at positions 355 to 511 of the family's 1533-position model. The record is from RNAcentral.
UAGGGAAUCUUCCACAAUGGGCGCAAGCCUGAUGGAGCAACGCCGCGUGUGUGAUGAAGGGUUUCGGCUCGUAAAACACUGUUGUAAGAGAAGAAUGACAUUGAGAGUAACUGUUCAAUGUGUGACGGUAUCUUACCAGAAAGGAACGGCUAAAUACGUGCGAG